Non-coding RNA from Acanthosepion pharaonis, 113 nucleotides. NCBI's taxonomy places the organism in Eukaryota, Metazoa, Mollusca, Cephalopoda, Sepiida, Sepiidae. The record is from the annotation of a GenBank genome assembly.
UUACGGCUACAUCAUGUCGAAACACUAGUUCCCGUACGAUCACUGAAGGUAAGCAAGGGCAAGCAUGAACAGUACCUAGAUGGGUGACCGCUUGGAAAUACGAUAUGCUGUAA